CAGCAGCCGCGGUAAUACGAAGGGGGCUAGCGUUGUUCGGAAUUACUGGGCGUAAAGCGCACGUAGGCGGAUAUUUAAGUCAGGGGUGAAAUCCCGCAGCUCAACUGCGGAACUGCCUUUGAUACUGGGUAUCUUGAGUAUGGAAGAGGUUAGUGGAAUUGCGAGUGUAGAGGUGAAAUUCGUAGAUAUUCGCAGGAACACCAGUGGCGAAGGCGGCUAACUGGUCCAUAACUGACGCUGAGGUGCGAAAGCGUGGGGAGCAAACAGGAUUAGAUACCCGCGUAGUCCCUGUCUCUUAUAC
This 301-nucleotide ribosomal RNA is filed under the name uncultured bacterium. RNAcentral describes it as "partial 16S ribosomal RNA". It matches the Rfam family "Bacterial small subunit ribosomal RNA", at positions 509 to 807 of the family's 1533-position model. The record is from RNAcentral.